AGUGAACGCUGGCGGCAGGCCUAACACAUGCAAGUCGAACGGCAGCACAGUAAGAGCUUGCCCUUACGGGUGGCGAGUGGCGGACGGGUGAGGAAUACAUCGGAAUCUACUUUUUCGUGGGGGAUAACGUAGGGAAACUUACGCUAAUACCGCAUACGACCUACGGGUGAAAGCAGGGGAUCUUCGGACCUUGCGCGAUUGAAUGAGCCGAUGUCGGAUUAGCUAGUUGGCGGGGUAAAGGCCCACCAAGGCGACGAUCCGUAGCUGAUCUGAGAGGAUGAUCAGCCACACUGGAACUGAGACACGGUCCAGACUCCUACGGGAGGCAGCAGUGGGGAAUAUUGGACAAUGGGCGCAAGCCUGAUCCAGCCAUGCCGCGUGGGUGAAGAAGGCCUUCGGGUUGUAAAGCCCUUUUGUUGGGAAAGAAAAGCAGCAGGUUAAUACCCCGCUGUUCUGACGGUACCCAAAGAAUAAGCACCGGCUAACUUCGUG
This 492-nucleotide ribosomal RNA is filed under the name uncultured bacterium. RNAcentral's name for it is "partial 16S ribosomal RNA". It matches the Rfam family "Bacterial small subunit ribosomal RNA", at positions 29 to 507 of the family's 1533-position model. The record is from RNAcentral.